UACGUAGGGGGCGAGCGUUGUCCGGAAUCAUUGGGCGUAAAGAGCGUGUAGGCGGCCAGAUAAGUCCGCUGUGAAAUCUCGAGGCUCAACUUCGAGCUGUCGGUGGAAACUGUCUGGCUAGAGUCCGGAAGAGGAGAAUGGAAUUCCUGGUGUAGCGGUGAAAUGCGCAGAUAUCAGGAAGAACACCCGUGGCGAAGGCGGUUCUCUGGGACGGUACUGACGCUGAGACGCGAAAGCGUGGGGAGCGAACAGG
RNAcentral lists this ribosomal RNA (253 nucleotides) under uncultured bacterium. Its description in RNAcentral is "partial 16S ribosomal RNA". It matches the Rfam family "Bacterial small subunit ribosomal RNA", at positions 524 to 776 of the family's 1533-position model. The record is from RNAcentral.